This 468-nucleotide ribosomal RNA is filed under the name uncultured bacterium. RNAcentral's name for it is "partial 16S ribosomal RNA". It matches the Rfam family "Bacterial small subunit ribosomal RNA", at positions 28 to 507 of the family's 1533-position model. The record is from RNAcentral.
GACGAACGCUGGCGGCGUGCUUAACACAUGCAAGUCGAACGGAAAGGCCCUGCUUUUGUGGGGUGCUCGAGUGGCGAACGGGUGAGUAACACGUGAGUAACCUGCCCUUGACUUUGGGAUAACUUCAGGAAACUGGGGCUAAUACCGGAUAGGAGCUCCUGCUGCAUGGUGGGGGUUGGAAAGUUUCGGCGGUUGGGGAUGGACUCGCGGCUUAUCAGCUUGUUGGUGUGGUAGUGGCUUACCAAGGCUUUGACGGGUAGCCGGCCUGAGAGGGUGACCGGCCACAUUGGGACUGAGAGACGGCCCAGACUCCUACGGGAGGCAGAAGUGGGGAAUAUUGCACAAUGGGCGGAAGCCUGAUGCAGCAACGCCGCGUGCGGGAUGACGGCCUUCGGGUUGUAAACCGCUUUCGCCUGUGACGAAGCGUGAGUGACGGUAAUGGGUAAAGAAGCACCGGCUAACUACGUG